AACGGGUGAGUAUGAUGUGGGAAUCUGCCUUUUGGUUUGGAAUAACACGGGGAAACUUGUGCUAAUACCGAAUAAGCCCUUACGGGGAAAGUUUUAACGCCGAAAGAUGAGCCCGCACUUGAUUAGCUAGUUGGUAAGGUAAAAGCUUACCAAGGCAACGAUCAAUAGCUGUUCUUAGAGGAAGACCAGCCACAUUGGGACUGAGACACGGCCCAGACUCCUACGGGAGGCAGCAGUGGGGAAUCUUGCACAAUGGGGGAAACCCUGAUGCAGCGAUGCCGCAUGAGUGAAGAAGGCCCUUGGGUUGUAAAACUCUUUCGUCGGGGAAGAAAAUGACUGUACCCGAAUAAGAAGGUCCGGCUAACUUCGUGCCAGCAGCCGCGGUAAUACGAAGGGACCUAGCGUAGUUCGGAAUUACUGGGCUUAAAGAGCUCGUAGGUGGUUAAAAAAGUUGAUGGUGAAAUCCCAAGGCUCAACCUUGGAACUGCCAUCAAAACUUUUUAGCUAGAGUGUGAUAGAGGUAAGUGGAAUUUCUAGUGUAGAGGUGAAAUUCGUAGAUAUUAGAAAGAACACCAAAUGCGAAGGCAACUUACUGGGUCACUACUGACACUGAGGAGCGAAAGCAUGGGUAGCGAGGAGGAUUAGAUACCCUCGUAGUCCAUGCCGUAAACGAUGUGUGCUAGACGUUGGA
RNAcentral lists this ribosomal RNA (691 nucleotides) under uncultured bacterium. RNAcentral's name for it is "bacterial SSU rRNA". It matches the Rfam family "Bacterial small subunit ribosomal RNA", at positions 101 to 827 of the family's 1533-position model. The record is from RNAcentral.